Molecule: long non-coding RNA, 1146 nt
Filed under: Hordeum vulgare
Lineage: Eukaryota; Viridiplantae; Streptophyta; Magnoliopsida; Poales; Poaceae
Description: long non-coding RNA (HVUL_LNC002231)
Source: RNAcentral
UUGACUAUGGAAAGAAGUCCAAGCUUGGGUUCACAGUGUACCCAUCUCCCCAGGUGUCCACCUCUGUUGUUGAGCCAUACAACAGUGUCCUGUCCACCCACUCCCUCCUUGAGCACACCGAUGUCUCUAUCCUGCUUGACAAUGAGGCCAUCUAUGACAUCUGCCGCCGCUCCCUUGACAUUGAGCGCCCAACAUACACCAACCUCAACAGGCUUGUUUCUCAGGUACAGUCUACAUCCUUGUUUCUGCAUGGUACAUGCUUUCUCUGUUUGAUGUAUGUUAUAUGUUGCACUUCCUAAGAAUGUUUGACUGGUAUCUAAUCCAUUGGUUAAAUAACUAAUGUGCAGGUCAUAUCAUCACUGACUGCUUCCCUGAGGUUUGACGGUGCUCUGAAUGUUGAUGUGAAUGAGUUCCAAACCAACCUGGUGCCCUACCCAAGGAUCCACUUCAUGCUUUCCUCCUAUGCCCCAGUGAUAUCAGCAGAGAAGGCUUACCAUGAGCAGCUGUCUGUUGCCGAGAUCACCAACAGUGCAUUCGAGCCUUCCUCCAUGAUGGCCAAGUGUGACCCCCGCCAUGGCAAGUACAUGGCCUGCUGUCUCAUGUACCGUGGGGAUGUCGUGCCCAAGGACGUCAACGCUGCUGUGGCCACCAUCAAGACCAAGCGCACUAUCCAGUUUGUUGACUGGUGCCCCACUGGCUUCAAGUGCGGUAUCAACUACCAGCCACCUGGUGUCGUCCCAGGGGGCGACCUUGCCAAGGUCCAGAGGGCUGUGUGCAUGAUCUCCAACUCCACCAGUGUUGUUGAGGUCUUCUCCCGCAUCGACCACAAGUUUGACCUGAUGUACGCCAAGCGUGCCUUUGUCCACUGGUAUGUGGGUGAGGGUAUGGAGGAGGGAGAGUUCUCUGAGGCCCGUGAGGACCUUGCUGCCCUGGAGAAGGACUAUGAAGAAGUUGGUGCUGAGUUCGACGAUGGUGAGGAUGGUGACGAGGGUGAUGAGUACUAGAGCCUGCCUCCUGGUGCUUUCCCAAGGCGUACUACUGCUAUCCUAUGAUCUGCUCAAGCGGCUUUAUCUGUUAUCUGUCUGUUUGAAUGUUUGCUUUGUGGUGUUUGUUUUACAACCUGUUGUGUUGUAAGAACAUAUUGGU